This 386-nucleotide ribosomal RNA is filed under the name uncultured bacterium. Its description in RNAcentral is "bacterial SSU rRNA". It matches the Rfam family "Bacterial small subunit ribosomal RNA", at positions 29 to 417 of the family's 1533-position model. The record is from RNAcentral.
ACGAACGCUGGCGGCGCGCUUAACACAUGCAAGUCGAGCGGUAAGGCCCUUUCGGGGGUACACGAGCGGCGAACGGGUGAGUAACACGUGGGUGACCUGCCUUUAGCUCUGGGAUAAGCCUGGGAAACUGGGUCUAAUACCGGAUAUGACUCCGCGGUGCAUGCUGUGGGGUGGAAAGCCUUGUGCGGCUGGAGAUGGGCCCGCGGCCUAUCAGCUUGUUGGUGGGGUGAUGGCCUACCAAGGCGACGACGGGUAGCCAGCCUGAGAGGGCGACCGGCCACACUGGGACUGAGACACGGCCCAGACUCCUACGGGAGGCAGCAGUGGGGAAUAUUGCGCAAUGGGCGUAAGCCUGACGCAGCGACGCCGCGUGGGGAUGAAGGCCU